AUGGGAUGGGACGUUACCACGGUCAAUCCUAUUUGGGCGAGGAUUUGGAAGCUUGCUUGUCCAGCAAAGGUUAAAAUAUUUAUUUUGCGUACACUUCACGGCACUAUUCCGUGUUGUGUUAACUUAGCUAAUAGACAUGUGAAAGUCUCGCCUAAGUGUCCUGCCAGCUCAUCUGGGCCAGAAGACACAAAACACUUGCUGUUUCUAUGUGACAGAGCAAAAGAAGUCUGGAGAAGACUAGGGAUGGACGAUAUUAUCGACAGAGCUUGUAAAAUAGACUAUGCGGGUGAGGCAAUCUUGGAAUAUUUACUUUCAUUACCAGAUCAGGAACUAUGUAUUAUGGGCACUCGUAAUGUGCGUGACAUAAUUGUCAUAUUAGCCUGGUACUUGUGGUGGGAAAGGCGCAAAUUGGUACACAAUGAGACUACUCAGAAUGCACAACAAAUAUCCAUGGGGAUACGCACUCUCGCUGCCAAUUUUGUUAAUGCCUCCUCGCCGAAGGCUUCCAUUAAAAGAGGAGGAUGGUCUAAUCCCCCGACGGGAUUUGUUAAACUUAAUGUUGAUGCUUCUUUUGAUCACGACCUUCUUAGGGGUACGAUCGGGGCUAUCUUAAAAGAUGACAAAGGUAGGUUCAUCGGUGGGGGAAAUGGUAAGAUUGACUGGUGUGCAGAUGUGUUGAUGGCUGAAGCUUUGGCGUUAAAAUUUGGCCUAUCGCUUGCGCAAAGGACGGGUUGUAAUCGCAUAAUUAUUAACUCGGAUAAUAUGGAGGUGAUCGAGACCAUGAACGAAGGAGGACGAUCGUCGGGGGCAGCAGCUGCAAUUUUUUAUGACUGUUUUCACUUAGCUUGCGAUUUUCCUAUUUCUAGAUUCGAGCAUUAUAAUAGAGAAGCAAAUAAAGUUGCUCAUGAACUUGCCAAGUUGGCUAGAUCUUCAUUCGUUUUUGAUUGGUUUGAGGAACCACAUAAUGCAAUUGUACCAAUCCUCAUAAACGAUGUAAUGAUUAUUUCUAAUGAAUAA
RNAcentral lists this ribosomal RNA (1017 nucleotides) under Triticum aestivum (bread wheat). RNAcentral's name for it is "partial small subunit ribosomal RNA". The record is from RNAcentral. Lineage: Eukaryota; Viridiplantae; Streptophyta; Magnoliopsida; Poales; Poaceae.